Molecule: non-coding RNA, 42 nt
Filed under: Methylobacterium sp. 4-46
Lineage: Bacteria; Pseudomonadati; Pseudomonadota; Alphaproteobacteria; Hyphomicrobiales; Methylobacteriaceae
Also listed under: 1 other name
Source: RNAcentral
UCGGGAAGCGAUCUCCCGACGAGGCUCCGGCUGAAGAAUCGC